GAGUGAUAGGUGCCCUCUUCGCCCUGCUCGAUUUCGUAGCUCACUUUGACGGGCCCGGAGUCGUCAGUCACCACUUGCGAUGUUGGUGAUGCUUCUGCAUGAUCACAAACUUAUCUAAGCCAAAUACCCUAGCGAGCUUCCUCUGUUCGCACCAAGCGGCAAAUCAACAGCGGACAAGUGGUCUAACACAGGUGGCGCAAUGCAAGCACGUCUUUGUUAUAUGUAUUAUUAUUUGAGUAAAUCUAUCAUAAUAAGGACUGAGUGCUGAA
This is a long non-coding RNA of Selaginella moellendorffii, 269 nucleotides long. RefSeq lists it as uncharacterized. The transcript is spliced from 2 exons. Lineage: Eukaryota; Viridiplantae; Streptophyta; Lycopodiopsida; Selaginellales; Selaginellaceae. The record is from RefSeq and is a predicted model, not a curated record.